RNAcentral lists this ribosomal RNA (456 nucleotides) under Streptococcus mitis. RNAcentral's name for it is "bacterial SSU rRNA". It matches the Rfam family "Bacterial small subunit ribosomal RNA", at positions 28 to 470 of the family's 1533-position model. Lineage: Bacteria; Bacillati; Bacillota; Bacilli; Lactobacillales; Streptococcaceae. The record is from RNAcentral.
GACGAACGCUGGCGGCGUGCCUAAUACAUGCAAGUAGAACGCUGAAGGAGGAGCUUGCUUCUCUGGAUGAGUUGCGAACGGGUGAGUAACGCGUAGGUAACCUGCCUGGUAGCGGGGGAUAACUAUUGGAAACGAUAGCUAAUACCGCAUAAGAGUAGAUGUUGUAUGACAUUUGCUUAAAAGGUGCAAUUGCAUCACUACCAGAUGGACCUGCGUUGUAUUAGCUAGUUGGUGGGGUAACGGCUCACCAAGGCGACGAUACAUAGCCGACCUGAGAGGGUGAUCGGCCACACUGGGACUGAGACACGGCCCAGACUCCUACGGGAGGCAGCAGUAGGGAAUCUUCGGCAAUGGACGGAAGUCUGACCGAGCAACGCCGCGUGAGUGAAGAAGGUUUUCGGAUCGUAAAGCUCUGUUGUAAGAGAAGAACGAGUGUGAGAGUGGAAAGUUCACACU